CAGCAGAGAAGAUCAUCAGAGUCUCUCUCCCCUCUAUUAAGGACAUCUACACCACACGCUGCAUCCGCAAAGCCACCAGCAUUGUGGCUGAUCGGACACACCCCUCUUACACACUCUUCACACUCCUGCCAUCUGGAAAAAGCACCUUGGCCCUGGAGGAACGCUGUUUCGCCUCACUGUGUACAAACUGUAUAUGGCUGAAGUGACAAUAAAGCCAACUUGACUUGACUUGACUUGAC
Long non-coding RNA from Oreochromis niloticus (Nile tilapia), 239 nucleotides. RefSeq lists it as uncharacterized. Lineage: Eukaryota; Metazoa; Chordata; Actinopteri; Cichliformes; Cichlidae. The transcript has 2 exons. The record is from RefSeq and is a predicted model, not a curated record.